CACCACGCCCCAUCUUUCUGCAGGACACGUCUGAGCCGCUCGAGCCCUGAGCCUGCCCUGCCCUUUGGGGUGGGGCCCCCCCCGGCGCACUCCAUGGAGCCGGGGGUUUCGAAUCCGCUGCAGGAGCCUAGCCCGGCUGACACCAUGACGCCCGACGACUUUGACAUCGUCAUCGAAGCCAUGCUGGAGGCGCCCUACAAGAAGGAGGAGGCCCAGGCAGGACCCUCAAAGGCACCGGUUGAAGCCCCUGCAGCCCAGCCCCCAGAGGAACAGAGCAAGGAGGUGAAGAAGGAGAGUGCCAGCGGCAGGUGAGAGGGGCAGG
Long non-coding RNA from Chelonoidis abingdonii (Abingdon island giant tortoise), 322 nucleotides. RefSeq lists it as uncharacterized. Lineage: Eukaryota; Metazoa; Chordata; Testudines; Testudinidae. The record is from RefSeq and is a predicted model, not a curated record.